GAGUUUGAUCGUGGCUCAGGAUGAACGCUAGCGGCAGGCUUAACACAUGCAAGUCGAGGGGUAGAGUUAGCUUGCUAACUUGAGACCGGCGCACGGGUGCGUAACGCGUAUGCAAUCUACCUUGUACAGGGGGAUAGCCCAGAGAAAUUUGGAUUAAUACCCCAUAGUGUUAUGAUGUGGCAUCACAUUAUAACUAAAGUUCCAACGGUACAAGAUGAGCAUGCGUCCCAUUAGCUAGUUGGUGUGGUAACGGCAUACCAAGGCAACGAUGGGUAGGGGUCCUGAGAGGGAGAUCCCCCACACUGGUACUGAGACACGGACCAGACUCCUACGGGAGGCAGCAGUGAGGAAUAUUGGUCAAUGGGCGCAAGCCUGAACCAGCCAUGCCGCGUGCAGGAUGACGGUCCUAUGGAUUGUAAACUGCUUUUUGUACAGGAAGAAACACUCCCCUCGUGA
RNAcentral lists this ribosomal RNA (456 nucleotides) under uncultured Flavobacterium sp. RNAcentral's name for it is "bacterial SSU rRNA". It matches the Rfam family "Bacterial small subunit ribosomal RNA", at positions 9 to 464 of the family's 1533-position model. The record is from RNAcentral. Lineage: Bacteria; Pseudomonadati; Bacteroidota; Flavobacteriia; Flavobacteriales; Flavobacteriaceae.